Molecule: transfer RNA, 83 nt
Filed under: Clostridium sp.
Lineage: Bacteria; Bacillati; Bacillota; Clostridia; Eubacteriales; Clostridiaceae
Also listed under: 3 other names
Description: tRNA-Leu
Rfam family: tRNA
About the family: Transfer RNA (tRNA) molecules are approximately 80 nucleotides in length. Their secondary structure includes four short double-helical elements and three loops (D, anti-codon, and T loops).
Source: RNAcentral
GCGGACAUGGCGGAAUUGGCAGACGCACUAGAUUUAGGAUCUAGCGGGAAACCGUGGGGGUUCAAGUCCCUUUGUCCGCACCA